CCUACGGGGGGCAGCAGUGAGGAAUAUUGGUCAAUGGGCUUACGCCUGAACCAGCCAAGUCGCGUGAGGGAAGACUGCCCUAUGGGUUGUAAACCUCUUUUGUCAGGGAGCAACGCCGGCUACGUGUAGCCGGACUGAGAGUACCUGAAGAAAAAGCAUCGGCUAACUCCGUGCCAGCAGCCGCGGUAAUACGGAGGAUGCGAGCGUUAUCCGGAUUGAUUGGGUUUAAAGGGUGCGUAGGCGGAAUGCCAAGUCAGCGGUAAAAUCGCGGGGCUCAACCUCGCUCCGCCGUUGAAACUGGCGUUCUUGAGUGGGCGAGAAGUAUGCGGAAUGCGUGGUGUAGCGGUGAAAUGCAUAGAUAUCACGCAGAACUCUGAUUGCGAAGGCAGCAUACCGGCGCCCAACUGACGCUGAAGCACGAAAGCGUGGGUAUCGAACAGGAUUAGAUACCCUAGUAGUC
This 460-nucleotide ribosomal RNA is filed under the name uncultured bacterium. RNAcentral describes it as "partial 16S ribosomal RNA". It matches the Rfam family "Bacterial small subunit ribosomal RNA", at positions 338 to 795 of the family's 1533-position model. The record is from RNAcentral.